UACGGAGGGUGCAAGCGUUAAUCGGAAUUACUGGGCGUAAAGCGUGCGCAGGCGGUUUGUUAAGUCCGCUGUGAAAUCCCCGAGCUCAACUUGGGAAUUGCAGUGGAUACUGGCAAGCUGGAGUAUGGUAGAGGAUGGUGGAAUUCCUAGUGUAGAGGUGAAAUUCUUAGAUAUUAGGAGGAACAUCGGAGGCGAAAGCGGCCAUCUGGACCAUUUCUGACGCUGAGGUGCGAAAGCGUGGGGAGCAAACAGG
RNAcentral lists this ribosomal RNA (253 nucleotides) under uncultured bacterium. RNAcentral's name for it is "partial 16S ribosomal RNA". It matches the Rfam family "Bacterial small subunit ribosomal RNA", at positions 524 to 776 of the family's 1533-position model. The record is from RNAcentral.